UUGAACGCUGGCGGCAGGCCUAACACAUGCAAGUCGAGCGGAUGAAGGGAGCUUGCUCCUGGCUUCAGCGGCGGACGGGUGAGUAAUGCCUAGGAAUCUGCCUGGUAGUGGGGGAUAACGUCCGGAAACGGGCGCUAAUACCGCAUACGUCCUGAGGGAGAAAGUGGGGGAUCUUCGGACCUCACGCUAUCAGAUGAGCCUAGGUCGGAUUAGCUAGUUGGUGGGGUAAAGGCCUACCAAGGCGACGAUCCGUAACUGGUCUGAGAGGAUGAUCAGUCACACUGGAACUGAGACACGGUCCAGACUCCUACGGGAGGCAGCAGUGGGGAAUAUUGGACAAUGGGCGAAAGCCUGAUCCAGCCAUGCCGCGUGUGUGAAGAAGGUCUUCGGAUUGUAAAGCACUUUAAGUUGGGAGGAAGGGCAGUAAGUUAAUACCUUGCUGUUUUGACGUUACCAACAGAAUAAGCACCGGCUAACUUCGU
This 482-nucleotide ribosomal RNA is filed under the name uncultured bacterium. RNAcentral describes it as "partial 16S ribosomal RNA". It matches the Rfam family "Bacterial small subunit ribosomal RNA", at positions 30 to 506 of the family's 1533-position model. The record is from RNAcentral.